GGACCAAGGAGUCUAGCAUGUGCGCGAGUCAUUGGGACUCUAUUAAAACCUAAAGGCGUAAUGAAAGUGAAAUAUACUUUGUGAUUUUCGGAUCACAUUGAAUUAAGGGAAGAUGUCACAACCAACCAUGUUGAGACCGCAUUCCCGGGGCGUCGCGUACUUAUUGCAAGUUGCGGCGCACCAAGAGCGUACACGCUGGGACCC
RNAcentral lists this ribosomal RNA (204 nucleotides) under Pterostichus aterrimus. RNAcentral describes it as "partial 28S ribosomal RNA". It matches the Rfam family "Eukaryotic large subunit ribosomal RNA", at positions 663 to 817 of the family's 3401-position model. The record is from RNAcentral. Lineage: Eukaryota; Metazoa; Arthropoda; Insecta; Coleoptera; Carabidae.